RNAcentral lists this ribosomal RNA (1884 nucleotides) under human gut metagenome. RNAcentral describes it as "bacterial LSU rRNA". It matches the Rfam family "Bacterial large subunit ribosomal RNA", at positions 3 to 1980 of the family's 2925-position model. The record is from RNAcentral.
UCAAGCGAACAAGGGCGCAGGGCGAAUGCCUUGGCACUGGGAGCCGAUGAAAGACGUGAUAAGCUGCGAUAAGCUUCGGGGAGCUGCAAAUAAGCAUUGAUCCGGAGAUUUCUGAAUGAGGAAACUCACCUGGGUUCAUACUCAGGUACGUUACACUGAAAUUCAAAAUAGGUGUAUCGAGGGAACCGCCUGAACUGAAACAUCUAAGUAGGGCGAGGAAGAGACAUCAAACGAGAUUCCGUAAGUAGUGGCGAGCGAACGCGGAAGAGGGCAAACCGAGAGUAGAAAUACUUUCGGGGUACGGACUGCUUUUAAGACUCAAUCUGUUAACCGAACGGCAUGGGAAGGCCGGUCAGAGAGUGUGAGAACCACGUAGGUGAAAACGGAGAGAGCUGCGCAGAUUCCAGAGUACGGCCAGACACGUGAAACCUGGUCGGAAGAUGGGGGGACCACCCUCCAACCCUAAAUACUACCCAGUGACCGAUAGCGUAUAGUACUGUGAAGGAAAGGUGAAAAGCACCCCGGGAGGGGAGUGAAAAAGAACCUGAAACCCUGUGCCUACAAGCACCUAGAGCACGUCAAUGUGUGAUAGGGUACUUUUUGUAGAACGGUCCGGCGAGCGAUUGUAUGCAGCAAGGUUAAGGACUUAAGGUCUGGAGCCGAAGCGAAAGCGAGUUUGAAAAGGGCGUUAAGUUGCAUAUAAUGGGCCCGAAACCGGGUGACCUACCCAUGGUCAGGUUGAAGUGGAAGUAAAAUUCCAUGGAGGACCGAACCGACCUCCGUUGAAAAGGCGGCGGAUGAACUGUGGGUAGCGGAGAAAUUCCAAUCGAACCCGGAGAUAGCUGGUUCUCCCCGAAAUAGUUUUAGGACUAGCCUCAAGUUAGAUACCUGGAGGUAAAGCACUGAAUAGCCUAGCGGCCGAGAGGUUAGCGAAGCUUAUCAAACUCAGAAUGCCAGAGUAUUGAUGCUUGGGAGUCAGACAGUGUCAGAUAAAUGUCAUUGUCAAAAGGGAAACAGCCCAGAUCUACAGCUAAGGUCCCAAAGUCAGGUUAAGUGGAAAACGAUGUGAAGAUACGCAGACAACCAGGAUGUUGGCUCAGAAGCAGCCACUCAUUCAAAGAGUGCGUAAUAGCUCACUGGUCGAGCGUCUUUGCGCGGAGAAUUUAACGGGGCUAAACCUGACACCGAAGCUUAGGCAAUACAGCAAUGUAUUGGGUAGGGGAGCGUUGUAUACGCGGUGAAACAGUAGCGCAAGCGGCUGUGGAGUGUAUAGAAGUGAGAAUGCCGGAAUGAGUAGCGCGAAUGCAGUGAGAAUCUGCAUGGCCGAAAGCCUCAGGUUUCUGGAGGAAGGUUCGUCCGCUCCAGGUUAGUCGGGAGCUAAGGUGAGGCCGGAAGGCGUAGCCGAUGCACAGACGGUAGAGAUUCCGUCACCACCAAAAGAGUUAAGCACAGGGACACAUUUGAAGUCUCAGAGCCGGGUGUUGGUUCCGGUAGAGAUCGAGGGAAAUUAGUACCGAAGUCUGAGAUGGAAGAUGGCGAGAAAAGCUGUGUGUAUUUCUGAGGUGCCCGUACCGCAAACCGACACAGGUAGGUAGGAAGAAGAUUCUAAGGCCAACGGGAGAAGGGUUGUUAAGGAACUCGGCAAAUUGACCCCGUAACUUCGGGAGAAGGGGUGCUCCAGAGAUGGAGCCGCAGAGAAUCGGCCCAAGCAACUGUUUACCAAAAACACAGGUUUGUGCUAAAUCGAAAGAUGACGUAUACGAGCUGACGCCUGCCCGGUGCUGGAAGGUUAAGAGGAGAUGUGCAAGCAUUGAAUCGAAGCCCCAGUGAACGGCGGCCGUAACUAUAACGGUCCUAAGGUAGCGAAAUUCCUUGUCAGGUAAG